GGGUUGUGAGGUUAAGCGACUAAGCGUACACGGUGGAUGCCCUGGCAGUCAGAGGCGAUGAAGGACGUGCUAAUCUGCGAUAAGCGCCGGUAAGGUGAUAUGAACCGUUAUAACCGGCGAUUUCCGAAUGGGGAAACCCAGUGUGACUCGUCACACUAUCAUUAACUGAAUCCAUAGGUUAAUGAGGCGAACCGGGGGAACUGAAACAUCUAAGUACCCCGAGGAAAAGAAAUCAACCGAGAUUCCCCCAGUAGCGGCGAGCGAACGGGGAGGAGCCCAGAGCCUGAAUCAGCAUGUGUGUUAGUGGAAGCGUCUGGAAAGGCGCGCGAUACAGGGUGACAGCCCCGUACACAAAAGCGCAUGUGCUGUGAGCUCGAUGAGUAGGGCGGGACACGUGGUAUCCUGUCUGAAUAUGGGGGGACCAUCCUCCAAGGCUAAAUACUCCUGACUGACCGAUAGUGAACCAGUACCGUGAGGGAAAGGCGAAAAGAACCCCGGCGAGGGGAGUGAAAAAGAACCUGAAACCGUGUACGUACAAGCAGUGGGAGCCCCACCACUAAGCCAGUGGUGAACUCCACAUACGCAUCCUUUGCUGAGGAUAAGGUUAACGGAGCGAAAGCGACGUUCAACCGCAAAAGAAGCAGAGGGGGCUUAGUGGUGGGGUGACUGCGUACCUUUUGUAUAAUGGGUCAGCGACUUAUAUUCUGUAGCAAGGUUAACCGUAUAGGGGAGCCG
RNAcentral lists this ribosomal RNA (735 nucleotides) under Salmonella enterica subsp. enterica serovar Paratyphi B. RNAcentral describes it as "bacterial LSU rRNA". It matches the Rfam family "Bacterial large subunit ribosomal RNA", at positions 1 to 668 of the family's 2925-position model. Lineage: Bacteria; Pseudomonadati; Pseudomonadota; Gammaproteobacteria; Enterobacterales; Enterobacteriaceae. The record is from RNAcentral.